CCCCUAGAUGUUCUGGGCCGCACGCGCGCUACACUGAACAGUUCAACAAGUCUUAACCUUGGCCGAUAGGUCUGGGUAAUCUUUGAACGCUGUUCGUGAUUGGGAUAGACCUUUGCAAUUAUGGGUCUUCAACGAGGAAUUCCUAGUAAACGCAAGUCAUCAGCUUGCAUUGAUUACGUCCCUGCCCUUUGUACACACCGCCCGUCGCUGCAACUGAUUGGGUGAUCUGGUGAACAUCUUGGACUGACAAGUGCAAUUAUGCACUGGUUGGAAAAGGACGUAAAUCAGGUACAUCUAGAAAUUGCAAAAGUCGUAACA
Molecule: ribosomal RNA, 318 nt
Filed under: uncultured eukaryote
Lineage: Eukaryota
Description: partial 18S ribosomal RNA
Rfam family: Eukaryotic small subunit ribosomal RNA
Source: RNAcentral